This is a non-coding RNA of Pseudonaja textilis, 1343 nucleotides long. The record is from RefSeq and is a predicted model, not a curated record. NCBI's taxonomy places the organism in Eukaryota, Metazoa, Chordata, Lepidosauria, Squamata, Elapidae.
AACCAUAUUGCUUACUUAACACCUGCAGUGAUUCACUUAACAACUGUGACAAGAAAGGUUAUAAAACAGGGCAAAAUUUAACAACUGUCUUGCUUAGCAACAGAAAUUUUGGAUUCAAUUGUGAGUGUAAGUUGGUGACUAUCUGUAAAACAUGAACAUGAACACAACAACAAAGCUACAUUCAUAUAGGAGCUUUGAAUUUACCUAAUUCAAAAAACCUCUUUUAAUGCUAAAAUUGCCUAUUUGGAAAUAAUGGAUUUAAAAUGCUAUCCAAAGUCAAGGUCCUUGAGAUCAUGGCCCUCAGAAGUUUCCAGUCUUGGUGUGAAAAGCAUUUGCAAGCCGACAAGACUUUGGGGCUGAAAAAUUGCAUUGCUUCAAGUCUCCCAUCAGCUUGCAAAUGCUUUUUGCACUGAGACCACAAGCAGGCAAAGAAACUGAGGCAGAGAGGCUGGAGAGGAGAUAGGCCACUAGAUCUUCACAAGGUAGGUGAUCUGGCACGGCAGGAUGCAGGGGAACAAUUGUGGGAACCCCAGGGGUGGGAGCAUGAUAUAUCUCAGUUGGGUCGGAGGUGGCCUUGGGUGGUCUGAAGCAGAUGGCUGUUCCAUUACUAGGUCCCCCAUAGUCUUCCUCACCCUGAAAUACCUCAUGUGCACUUAAUGACCUGCACAUUUGAUUAGUGAAUGCAUGGUCAAAAGCAGGGAGUGAUUGUGUUCAUUUUAUGUGAUUCAUUCCAUCCUCAGGCUAUGAAUGGAAUUGGAAAGGUCCAUUACAUUUGCAACUGGAGGACUCUCUGUAGUAUUAUUUAAACUAAGAGAUCCUAGAAUAUUUAUAUUGGCAUGUGUUCAGUGAGAAAAUACAAUUUUAUAUUUUAUAUCAGACCUUUUAAAUCUUACAUUGAAUAAACAUUUGGGAUUUUUGUCCUCAAACUAAGUAUAAGUUUUGUCUCCAAAUCAAAUUGGACAAACUGUCAUGACCACAGAAUUGUUUUGAGAAAUGUUAACCACUUUUUGAUUUUAUAAUAGAAUAAUUUAAAAUGCAGAUACAUUGUAAUCUUUUUUGUAUACAAAAUCUAAGAAUUUUACUUUCCUGAAUGAAUUGACACAACCAUUUGCAUUUUGUUGCAUAACUUUAAAACUUUGUGUUUGGUAAAUUAUAAUUUAUUUUUUUAAGCUGGAGUAUUAAAUAGUAUAUUUGCUGUUAAGACUGUCAAUUAUGUUUUUAAAAGAUCUGUUAAUGUGUAAAAAAAAUUAUACCUUUCUAAAAUUUAUCUUGCAAGUCUGCCCAAGAUAAAUUGUAUUUCAUGUUCUCCAUUUAUUUCCACAUAAAUAAAUAAAAUAGAAUUU